Molecule: ribosomal RNA, 468 nt
Filed under: uncultured bacterium
Lineage: Bacteria
Description: partial 16S ribosomal RNA
Rfam family: Bacterial small subunit ribosomal RNA
Source: RNAcentral
GACGAACGCUGGCGGCGUGCUUAACACAUGCAAGUCGAACGGAAAGGCCCUGCUUUUGUGGGGUGCUCGAGUGGCGAACGGGUGAGUAACACGUGAGUAACCUGCCCUUGACUUUGGGAUAACUUCAGGAAACUGGGGCUAAUACCGGAUAGGAGCUCCUGCUGCAUGGUGGGGGUUGGAAAGUUUCGGCGGUUGGGGAUGGACUCGCGGCUUAUCAGCUUGUUGGUGGGGUAGUGGCUUACCAAGGCUUUGACGGGUAGCCGGCCUGAGAGGGUGAACGGCCACAAUGGGACUGAGGUACGGCCCAGUCGCCUACGGGAGGCAGCAGUGGGGAGUAUUGCACAGUGGGCGGGAGCCUGAUGCAGCAACGCCGCGUGCGGAAUGACGGCCUUCGGGUUGUGAACCGCUUUCGCCUGUGACGAAGCGUGAGUGACGGUAAUGGGUAAAGAAGCACCGGCUAACUACGUG